This 425-nucleotide ribosomal RNA is filed under the name uncultured bacterium. RNAcentral's name for it is "partial 16S ribosomal RNA". It matches the Rfam family "Bacterial small subunit ribosomal RNA", at positions 354 to 796 of the family's 1533-position model. The record is from RNAcentral.
GUGGGGAAUCUUAGACAAUGGGGGAAACCCUGAUCUAGCCAUGCCGCGUGAUCGAUGAAGGCCUUAGGGUUGUAAAGAUCUUUCAGCUGGGAAGAUAAUGACUGUACCAGCAGAAGAAGCCCCGGCUAACUCCGUGCCAGCAGCCGCGGUAAUACGGAGGGGGCUAGCGUUGUUCGGAAUUACUGGGCGUAAAGCGCACGUAGGCGGACUGGAAAGUCAGGGGUGAAAUCCCGGGGCUCAACCCCGGAACUGCCUUUGAAACUCCCAGUCUUGAGUUCGAGAGAGGUGAGUGGAAUUCCGAGUGUAGAGGUGAAAUUCGUAGAUAUUCGGAGGAACACCAGUGGCGAAGGCGGCUCACUGGCUCGAUACUGACGCUGAGGUGCGAAAGCGUGGGGAGCAAACAGGAUUAGAUACCCGUGUAGUCC